AGCGAACGCUGGCGGCAGGCCUAACACAUGCAAGUCGAACGAACUCUUCGGAGUUAGUGGCGGACGGGUGAGUAACACGUGGGAACGUGCCUUUAGGUUCGGAAUAACUCAGGGAAACUUGUGCUAAUACCGAGUGUGCCCUUCGGGGGAAAGAUUUAUCGCCUUUAGAGCGGCCCGCGUCUGAUUAGCUAGUUGGUGAGGUAACGGCUCACCAAGGCGACGAUCAGUAGCUGGUCUGAGAGGAUGGCCAGCCACACUGGGACUGAGACACGGCCCAGACUCCUACGGGAGGCAGCAGUGGGGAAUCUUGCGCAAUGGGCGAAAGCCUGACGCAGCCAUGCCGCGUGAAUGAUGAAGGUCUUAGGAUUGUAAAAUUCUUUCACCGGGGACGAUAAUAACGGUACCCGGAGAAGAAGCCCCGGCUAACUUCGUGCCAGCAGCCGCAGUAA
This 449-nucleotide ribosomal RNA is filed under the name uncultured bacterium. RNAcentral's name for it is "partial 16S ribosomal RNA". It matches the Rfam family "Bacterial small subunit ribosomal RNA", at positions 29 to 523 of the family's 1533-position model. The record is from RNAcentral.